RNAcentral lists this ribosomal RNA (227 nucleotides) under uncultured bacterium. Its description in RNAcentral is "partial 16S ribosomal RNA". It matches the Rfam family "Bacterial small subunit ribosomal RNA", at positions 109 to 334 of the family's 1533-position model. The record is from RNAcentral.
AGUAACGCGUGAGGAACCUGCCUCAAAGAGGGGGACAACAGUUGGGAACGACUGCUAAUACCGCAUAAGCCCACGGCUCGGCAUCGAGCAGAGGGAAAAGGAGUGAUCCGCUUUGAGAUGGCCUCGCGUCCGAUUAGCUAGUUGGUGAGGUAAUGGCCCACCAAGGCGACGAUCGGUAGCCGGACUGAGAGGUUGAACGGCCACAUUGGGACUGAGACACGGCCCAG